GACGAACGCUGGCGGCGUGCUUAACACAUGCAAGUCGAGCGGUAAGGCCUUUCGGGGUACACGAGCGGCGAACGGGUGAGUAACACGUGGGUGACCUGCCUUUAGCUUCGGGAUAAGCCUGGGAAACCGGGUCUAAUACCGGAUAUGACCUCAUGUCGCAUGGUGUUGGGUGGAAAGUUCUUCGGCUAGAGAUGGGCCCGCGGCCUAUCAGCUUGUUGGUGGGGUGAUGGCCUACCAAGGCGACGACGGGUAGCCGGCCUGAGAGGGCGACCGGCCACACUGGGACUGAGACACGGCCCAGACUCCUACGGGAGGCAGCAGUGGGGAAUCUUGCGCAAUGGGCGAAAGCCUGACGCAGCGACGCCGCGUGAGGGAUGACGGCCU
This 384-nucleotide ribosomal RNA is filed under the name uncultured bacterium. RNAcentral's name for it is "bacterial SSU rRNA". It matches the Rfam family "Bacterial small subunit ribosomal RNA", at positions 28 to 417 of the family's 1533-position model. The record is from RNAcentral.